This 312-nucleotide ribosomal RNA is filed under the name Triticum aestivum (bread wheat). RNAcentral's name for it is "partial small subunit ribosomal RNA". Lineage: Eukaryota; Viridiplantae; Streptophyta; Magnoliopsida; Poales; Poaceae. The record is from RNAcentral.
AGCUCUUUCACGUGGAUUCAGGAACACUUUGCCAAUUGCCCUACGGAUGCCACUGAUGAUGUUAUCCAGAUACAUGCUCGUGUCUAUAUGUGGUACGUUGUCUCGAGGACUUCGUUUCCGGACUCCACGGGCAAGAACGCUCCAUGGAUGUGGCUGAAGGCAUUGACCGUCUUCGAUAGCAAAUGGAGCUGGGGUUCAGCGACUCUUGCCUACAUGUACCGACAGAUAGUUGGUUUGUUUUGUUAUCAACUCAUUUCUUCAUUAGCAAUGCAACCUUGCUGUCAAGUUAACAUUGUUUUCUUUCAUAUGUAG